AGCUCCAAUAGCGUAUAUUAAAGUUGCUGCUGUUAAAAAGCUCGUAGUUGGAUUUCUGAUAUUAAUUUAUCUGUCCCGUCGUGGUUACACGUAUGAGUGACGGAAUAAAUUUAUCUGUUUUGUAUGUGUGUUUUAUGAUGUGAAAGCAUUUGUAAAAUAACUAUACAUCUUUUACUUUGAACAAAUUAGAGUGUUUCAAGCAGGCAUUUAUGCCUUGAAUACAUGAGCAUGGAAUAAUCAUCGAGGACUUUUUAGUUCUAUGUUGAUUGGUUCUAGAACUAUAGUAAUGAUGGAUAGGGAUAGUUGGGGGUGCUAGUAUUCCGAGGCCAGAGGUGAAAUUCUUGGAUUCUCGGAAGACUCACUUAGGCGAAAGCAUUCACCAAGGAUGUCUUCA
Molecule: ribosomal RNA, 394 nt
Filed under: uncultured eukaryote
Lineage: Eukaryota
Description: SSU rRNA
Rfam family: Eukaryotic small subunit ribosomal RNA
Source: RNAcentral